This 166-nucleotide ribosomal RNA is filed under the name uncultured bacterium. Its description in RNAcentral is "partial 16S ribosomal RNA". It matches the Rfam family "Bacterial small subunit ribosomal RNA", at positions 338 to 521 of the family's 1533-position model. The record is from RNAcentral.
CCUACGGGAGGCAGCAGUGGGGAAUAUUGGACAAUGGGGGAAACCCUGAUCCAGCAAUGCCGCGUGAGUGAAGAAGGCCUUAGGGUUGUAAAGCUCUUUCGGCGGGGACGAUGAUGACGGUACCCGCAGAAGAAGCCCCGGCUAACUCCGUGCCAGCAGCCGCGGU